RNAcentral lists this ribosomal RNA (468 nucleotides) under uncultured bacterium. RNAcentral describes it as "partial 16S ribosomal RNA". It matches the Rfam family "Bacterial small subunit ribosomal RNA", at positions 28 to 507 of the family's 1533-position model. The record is from RNAcentral.
GACGAACGCUGGCGGCGUGCUUAACACAUGCAAGUCGAACGGAAAGGCCCUGCUUUUGUGGGGUGCUCGUGUGGCGAACGGGUGAGUAACACGUGAGUAACCUGCCCUUGACUUUGGGAUAACUUCAGGAAACUGGGGCUAAUACCGGAUAGGAGCUCCUGCUGCAUGGUGGGGGUUGGAAAGUUUCGGCGGUUGGGGAUGGACUCGCGGCUUAUCCGCUUGUUGGUGGGGUAGUGGCUGACCAAGGCUUUGACGGGUAGCCGGCCUGAGAGGGUAACCGGCGACAUUGGGACUGAGAGACGGCCCAGACGCCUACGGGAGGCAGCAGUGGGGAAUAUUGCGCAAUGGGCGGAAGCCUGAUGCAGCAACGCCGCGUGCGGGAUGACGGCCUUCGGGUUGUAAACCGCUUUCGCCUGUGACGAAGCGUGAGUGACGGUAAUGGGUAAAGAAGCACCGGCUAACUACGUG